UAUGAGUUCAGUUAGUUUUUAUUCUUUCUGGCUGGCAGUUGAGGAGAAUCCUGGCUCGCCUUUUCUAACUCAUCCGAUUGUGAUGCCAUUAAAUGCUAACCUUAAAUAGGAUGAGUCAAUAGUUCCAUUACUCGCAAUAAUGGUUGCUCAUGAAAUGUCUAAAUUUCAUUAGUUUUUGUUUGUGCGUAGUUAUAACCUUUGUGACGAAAGCUGGUGGCUUUUCUUUUGUUUUAUGAUGUAUCUGUAGCGGUGGAAGUAAAGGUAGAGGACUGUGGUAAAGGAGCUAGAAAAUAAUUUGCCUUCUGAGAUUAUUGAUAAGGCCUUUGAGAUAUUUGAAAAAGAUAUUGCCAUUGCUUUCGAGUAUCAUUGUUUUUAUAUUGGGAUUUAUAAGGUUCUGCUCUUGAUAAUUUAUUUGGCUCUACAAAAUGAUUUGUUUUCCUUCGUUGCAAAGAAUUGCUUUUAUUUUUUCUUAAAAAGUAUUGUAGUAAUUGUUUAAUGUUAAAAUAGUGACCAUUAUAGCUUUCUUGGUCUGUUGGGUUCUCUAAUUUGGCUUUAUAGUUCAGUUCUGCAUAUUCUUAAAAUGUUGUUAGUUGAUCUACUGAAGAGAAUUACAUUAAAAAAAUGUUUCCCAUGAGCAGAGAAGUUGCAGAACAGAACAACCUUCAAGAAGUGUAGUUUCUCGAAAUGGAGUCUUUUUCUUUCUUUUGUAGUGUUUUGCUGAAAUGCUCUUCACCACCAGAUAAAGUUAUUCACUUUAACGAAAGAUUGCAUUCAAGUUUUAUUACCUUUGUGCAUUUGUAAUAUGUUUGUAUCUUCACUUUAGCUGUCUAUUUUGGAUCCGUCCAAGGUGAAAGUUAGCAUUAUUACAAUUUAUUUCACACGACAGAUUUAUGAAGAACAAAAUUUUGAUAUGAAGAUUUGAAUGGAGGGUAAGUAUACAAAAAAAUUUUGAACUUCUCCUCCAUUGUUCUCUGAAGCUCUUCGGUCGAACCUUAGGUCUUUCCCUUGGAACUAUCUUAAGACCUUAAAAAACUAUAUAUUUUAUAUAAACAAAGGGGGAAAACCUGAUCUGGCACCUUCCAAUGACCAGCAAUUAGAUUUAUCUCCUUUCUCUUUUUUUUUUUUUGCAAUUUUCCCUAUUUUUUCCUUUUAUCUUACUUAAAUAAAAUACAAAAAACCAAAGAAAGUUGCAUCAUUUCCCUGGUUGUUGCUCCAUGAUGCCUGCCAUUUCUGAAUCCUACGAGAUGCCUCCCCAACAGAAUUCUAGGAGACGCCUCCACAAUGAAAAGUCGCUUUUAUGAGGAGAAGAUUAUAUCAUAUUUAGUUGUUUGUUUCUAUCAUUGCUUAAUGCACAGAAUGACGGGCAGUUUCUAAUGUUGUUGGAGUAUUUGACUCUACCAGUACUGAUGGAUUUGUACCCUGGAUUCUUUGUGACCUGCACACCGAAUUAACAUCAGUUUGUGGUUUAAUCCUGAUAGUUUUCAAUGCUCUAUAAUUAAUCUAACUAAGAGGUAAGUAAAGCUCCUCCUCAAUAAGGCUAUUAUUCAUUGUGGAGGCGUCUCCUAAUUUCUUCUGGUUUAAAGAAGUUGUAACUAAUUCCUUUUUUCUCAAAAAAUCAAAGAGUGUCCUUAAAUGACUGUCAAUUAGAUAUAUCUGAAGUUGGUGUCGUCGAGAAAUGGAGAGAGAUUUCAUCAGGCUUGACUGUAAAACAAGAAAAAUUGAGGCAGGAGGUGAGACUGUAAAAGGUGAGGUUCAUAACUUUGUUGGAGAAAGUAGAGAGUAGGAAAGUUUUGUAUGGAACUUCUUGAAUAUUUAUCUUCAAAUGCUGAAAUGGGAGUGAAUGGCGAUCGCUGAAAUGGGCUUGAAUGGCGAUGGACAAAGCGGAUGAAGAGGCAGAGAGAAGAAGCAAGUUCUUGAACUGUUUGAUACUGAAGAAGUUUUCUUGUACUUCUCAAUUGAUAAGGUCUAUGUUCUUCUAUUCAGGACUUUUGUUGAACCUUUAGAUCAUUGACAGUACAUAGUCUGAAUUCUACUAUGUAAUUUCUGAAAAAUUAAUUUGUGAGAGAUUUUAGUUUGUUUCUUGGAUUAUAUAAUCAUGAAAAGUUUUAAAGGAAAAACUGGAAAUGCUUAAAACAAAAAAAGACUUCAUGUGUUGAGCCUUAAAAAAACAACCUUUUGAGCUAAGACAGUAUGAGUAUUAAAAAGGAAAGGCCGAAAGGCUGAAGGAGGAGGGGGUGGGAGCAAUAUAUGACUAAGUACUUAUGGUAUUCCCUGCAUAAUUAUGCAAAAAAAUAUGAUUUCUUCUACUGGGCAUGUCAAGAUUAUUCUUCUCUUUUUCUUUUUCUUUUUAUAUUGUGCUUCAAUUUUUCUCUUGAUAAUGUCAUUUAACUUCUCCUCUUUAUUUGAUUGCCUGAGCCGACGACGAAUUCAAAGCCUGAUUCAACCGCGAAUUCCAAAAUUCCUUUUUUUGGUUUCCAACUCAGUGUUCGGUGUCCGCAUUGGAGCUUGACUAAAUCCAAUCGCGCGUUGCAGGGCCCAUUUAGGGGCAGCGCUCUCAACAGGAUUUUUUCCAAGGUGAUAGCUGGUGAUUGUGAUGAUGUUGGCCUCAAAAGCUCAAAGUACUGCCAAAAAUCAGUAUUACCCUUCGUAAAAGAUAGGAAAGCAAGAGCCCCAAUUAGUGGUGCAUUAAUGUAAGUAGCAGGCUCUGAUUGCUGAUAAUUGUUCCUAUCAUCUUCAAAGUUAUCUUUACUAUCAGGACCACCCACGAUGGCUCCGACCAGGACAU
This is an RNA transcript of Lycium ferocissimum, 2785 nucleotides long. RefSeq lists it as uncharacterized. NCBI's taxonomy places the organism in Eukaryota, Viridiplantae, Streptophyta, Magnoliopsida, Solanales, Solanaceae. The record is from RefSeq and is a predicted model, not a curated record. The transcript has 5 exons.